GAUGAACGCUGGCGGCGUGCCUAAUACAUGCAAGUCGAGCGAACGGACGAGAAGCUUGCUUCUCUGAUGUUAGCGGCGGACGGGUGAGUAACACGUGGAUAACCUACCUAUAAGACUGGGAUAACUUCGGGAAACCGGAGCUAAUACCGGAUAAUAUUUUGAACCGCAUGGUUCAAAAGUGAAAGACGGUCUUGCUGUCACUUAUAGCUGGAUCCGCGCUGCAUUAGCUAGUUGGUAAGGUAACGGCUUACCAAGGCAACGAUGCAUAGCCGACCUGAGAGGAUGAUCGGCCACACUGGAACUGAGACACGGUCCAGACUCCUACGGGAGGCAGCAGUAGGGAAUCUUCCGCAAUGGGCGAAAGCCUGACGGAGCAACGCCGCGUGAGUGAUGAAGGUCUUCGGAUCGUAAAACUCUGUUAUUAGGGAAGAACAUAUGUGUAAGUAACUGUGCACAUCUUGACGGUACCUAAACAGAAAGCCACGGCUAACUACGUG
Molecule: ribosomal RNA, 497 nt
Filed under: uncultured bacterium
Lineage: Bacteria
Description: partial 16S ribosomal RNA
Rfam family: Bacterial small subunit ribosomal RNA
Source: RNAcentral